This 253-nucleotide ribosomal RNA is filed under the name uncultured bacterium. Its description in RNAcentral is "partial 16S ribosomal RNA". It matches the Rfam family "Bacterial small subunit ribosomal RNA", at positions 524 to 776 of the family's 1533-position model. The record is from RNAcentral.
UACGGAGGGGGCGAGCGUUAUUCGGAAUUAUUGGGCGUAAAGGGCGCGUAGGCGGCCCUGCAAGUCAAAGGUGAAAUCCCUCGGCUCAACUGAGGAACUGCCUUUGAAACUGCGGGGCUUGAGGCCGGGAGGGGGUAGCGGAAUUCCCGGUGUAGUGGUGAAAUGCGUAGAUAUCGGGAGGAACACCAGUGGCGAAGGCGGCUUCCUGGCCUGUUCUUGACGCUGAGGAGCGAAAGCGUGGGGAGCGAACAGG